ACAGACAACACACACAAAUACAGAGAGAGCUUUGUGGAAUUGAUAGUCUUAAUUACCUUUGUAUCAACUCAUUUGGCAAUGGCUUGAAUGUAACGGACGUUCAUUAAUAU
Long non-coding RNA from Sander lucioperca (pikeperch), 110 nucleotides. RefSeq lists it as uncharacterized. Lineage: Eukaryota; Metazoa; Chordata; Actinopteri; Perciformes; Percidae. The transcript has 3 exons. The record is from RefSeq and is a predicted model, not a curated record.